RNAcentral lists this ribosomal RNA (1250 nucleotides) under Pseudomonas sp. RNAcentral's name for it is "bacterial SSU rRNA". It matches the Rfam family "Bacterial small subunit ribosomal RNA", at positions 97 to 1344 of the family's 1533-position model. The record is from RNAcentral. Lineage: Bacteria; Pseudomonadati; Pseudomonadota; Gammaproteobacteria; Pseudomonadales; Pseudomonadaceae.
GAGCAUGUGGUGAGUAAUGCCUAGGAAUCUGCCUGGUAGUGGGGGAUAACGUCCGGAAACGGGCGCUAAUACCGCAUACGUCCUGAGGGAGAAAGUGGGGGAUCUUCGGACCUCACGCUAUCAGAUGAGCCUAGGUCGGAUUAGCUAGUUGGUGGGGUAAAGGCCUACCAAGGCGACGAUCCGUAACUGGUCUGAGAGGAUGAUCAGUCACACUGGAACUGAGACACGGUCCAGACUCCUACGGGAGGCAGCAGUGGGGAAUAUUGGACAAUGGGCGAAAGCCUGAUCCAGCCAUGCCGCGUGUGUGAAGAAGGUCUUCGGAUUGUAAAGCACUUUAAGUUGGGAGGAAGGGCAGUAAGUUAAUACCUUGCUGUUUUGACGUUACCAACAGAAUAAGCACCGGCUAACUUCGUGCCAGCAGCCGCGGUAAUACGAAGGGUGCAAGCGUUAAUCGGAAUUACUGGGCGUAAAGCGCGCGUAGGUGGUUCAGCAAGUUGGAUGUGAAAUCCCCGGGCUCAACCUGGGAACUGCAUCCAAAACUACUGAGCUAGAGUACGGUAGAGGGUGGUGGAAUUUCCUGUGUAGCGGUGAAAUGCGUAGAUAUAGGAAGGAACACCAGUGGCGAAGGCGACCACCUGGACUGAUACUGACACUGAGGUGCGAAAGCGUGGGGAGCAAACAGGAUUAGAUACCCUGGUAGUCCACGCCGUAAACGAUGUCGACUAGCCGUUGGGAUCCUUGAGAUCUUAGUGGCGCAGCUAACGGAUAAGUCGACCGCCUGGGGAGUACGGCCGCAAGGUUAAAACUCAAAUGAAUUGACGGGGGCCCGCACAAGCGGUGGGCGGACGGGUUUAAUUCGAAGCAACGCGAAGAACCUUACCUGGCCUUGACAUGCUGAGAACUUUCCAGAGAUGGAUUGGUGCCUUCGGGAACUCAGACACAGGUGCUGCAUGGCUGUCGUCAGCUCGUGUCGUGAGUUGUUGGGUUAAGUCCCGUAACGAGCGCAACCCUUGUCCUUAGUUACCAGCACCUCGGGUGGGCACUCUAAGGAGACUGCCGGUGACAAACCGGAGGAAGGUGGGGAUGACGUCAAGUCAUCAUGGCCCUUACGGCCAGGGCUACACACGUGCUACAAUGGUCGGUACAAAGGGUUGCCAAGCCGCGAGGUGGAGCUAAUCCCAUAAAACCGAUCGUAGUCCGGAUCGCAGUCUGCAACUCGACUGCGUGAAGUCGGUAAUCGUGAAUCAGAA